Molecule: long non-coding RNA, 485 nt
Organism: Pipistrellus kuhlii (Kuhl's pipistrelle)
Lineage: Eukaryota; Metazoa; Chordata; Mammalia; Chiroptera; Vespertilionidae
Exons: 3
Source: RefSeq, a predicted model, not a curated record
CGCAGCGCCCCCUGGGACGGGCGUCGCCUGGGCCCGCCCCCUGGCCGCGCGGCGAUUGGUCGACACCGCCCCAGACACCUGCCCCUUACCUUAGGGGGCGUGGCUACCUGGGCCCGCCCCACGUGGCUCGGGUUCCCAGGCGGUGCCUCCUCGGGCCCCGCCCCCAGCCCCAGGUCCCGCCCCUUCGAUCUCGGAUCCCGGGCGCCUCGUGAUGUCACGGCCGCUUUGAUACAAAGAACCCUUCGGCCCACGCGGGUCUCCCGGCAACCGGCGCGGGCGGGGGCGGGGCCGGCAUCUCCCGCGGGGGCCGCAGCGUGCGAUCCGCCGGCCGCGGGGCUGUGCCGCUCUCUCCGCGCCGCCCGCCACGUCCCUCCCCGCCGCGAGCCACCCGUGUCCGCCUGCUCCUCCGCGGCGCCCCGACCUGCGAUCGGACCUGGAAUGCGCACCCCGCCGGCCCCCGGGGGCCAGGGCAGCGAGCUGCCAGG